This is a long non-coding RNA of Puntigrus tetrazona (Sumatra barb), 257 nucleotides long. RefSeq lists it as uncharacterized. The transcript is spliced from 3 exons. The record is from RefSeq and is a predicted model, not a curated record. Lineage: Eukaryota; Metazoa; Chordata; Actinopteri; Cypriniformes; Cyprinidae.
CGAGGGACUUGCUAGUCAGUCGGGUAAUGAAGGAAACAAGGUAGUUAAAAGUUUUCUCAGCCAAAUUAAGAAAGCUAAUCAUUAAUCGGUUACAAAGCAGAUGCAAUGCUCUUCUGGCACUUCAAGCCAUUCUCCGUUUCGCUCACUGCAAGUGAGGACUGGAGUAUGAAGGCCACUGUUGUCUUGAUGGAGUCUCUGAGCGCUUGGUUCAUCGCACUGAGUGUCCUGUCUCAGAACAUUUUGCUUUCUGAGAGCGC